Molecule: unclassified non-coding RNA, 336 nt
Filed under: soil metagenome
Description: partial contains 5.8S ribosomal RNA, internal transcribed spacer 2, and large subunit ribosomal RNA
Rfam family: 5.8S ribosomal RNA (bases 1-120)
Source: RNAcentral
GAUGAAGAACGCAGCGAAAUGCGAUAAGUAAUGUGAAUUGCAGAAUUCAGUGAAUCAUCGAAUCUUUGAACGCACAUUGCGCCCGCCAGUAUUCUGGCGGGCAUGCCUGUUCGAGCGUCAUUUCAACCAUCAAGCCCCAGGCUUGUGUUGGGGACCUGCGGCUGCCGCAGGCCCUGAAAACCAGUGGCGGGCUCGCUGUCACACCGGGCGUAGUAGAUUUUAUCUCGCUCAGGGCGUGCUGCGGGUUCCGGCCGUUAAAAAGCCUUUUUUACCCAAGGUUGACCUCGGAUCAGGUAGGAAUACCCGCUGAACUUAAGCAUAUUAAUAAGCGGAGGA